GACGAACGCUGGCGGCGUGCUUAACACAUGCAAGUCGAACGGAAAGGCCUCUUUCGGGGGGUACUCGAGUGGCGAACGGGUGAGUAACACGUGAGUAACCUGCCCUUGACUUUGGGAUAACUUCAGGAAACUGGGGCUAAUACCGGAUAGGAGCUCCUGCUGCAUGGUGCGGGUUGGAAAGUUUCGGCGGUUGGGGAUGGACUCGCGGCUUAUCAGCUUGUUGGUGGGGUAGUGGCUUACCAAGGCUUUGACGGGUAGCCGGCCUGGGAGGGUGACCGGCCACAUUUGGACUGAGAUACGGCCCAGGCUCCUACAGGGGGCAGCAGUGGGGAAUGUUGCACAAUGGGUGGAAGCCUGAUGCAGCAACGCCGUGUGCGGGAUGACGGCCUUCGGGUUGUGAACCGCUUUCGCUCAUGACGAAGCUUUGUGUGACGGUAGUGGGUAAAGAAGCACCGGCUAACUACGUG
This 467-nucleotide ribosomal RNA is filed under the name uncultured bacterium. RNAcentral describes it as "partial 16S ribosomal RNA". It matches the Rfam family "Bacterial small subunit ribosomal RNA", at positions 28 to 507 of the family's 1533-position model. The record is from RNAcentral.